RNAcentral lists this ribosomal RNA (481 nucleotides) under Delia platura. Its description in RNAcentral is "partial large subunit ribosomal RNA". It matches the Rfam family "Bacterial large subunit ribosomal RNA", at positions 1852 to 2588 of the family's 2925-position model. The record is from RNAcentral. Lineage: Eukaryota; Metazoa; Arthropoda; Insecta; Diptera; Anthomyiidae.
GUUUAACCUGCCCACUGAAAUUAUUUAAAUGGCCGCAGUAUACUAACUGUGCAAAGGUAGCAUAAUCAUUAGUCUUUUAAUUGAAGGCUGGUAUGAAUGGUUGGACGAGAUAUUAACUGUUUCAUAAAAAUUUUUUUUAGAAUUUUAUUUUUUAGUUAAAAAGCUAAAAUGUAAUUAAAAGACGAGAAGACCCUAUAAAUCUUUAUAUUUAAUUUAUUAUAAUUUUAUAGAUUAAUUUUAGUUAUAUUAAUUAAUAAUAUUUUAUUGGGGUGAUAUUAAAAUUUGAUAAACUUUUAAUUGUUUAUAUCAUUAAUUUAUGAAUAAUUGAUCCAUUAAUAGUGAUUAAAAAAACAAGUUACUUUAGGGAUAACAGCGUAAUUUUUUUGGAGAGUUCAUAUCGAUAAAAAAGAUUGCGACCUCGAUGUUGGAUUAAGAUAUAAUUUUAGGUGUAGCUGCUUAAAUUUUAAGUCUGUUCGACUUU